RNAcentral lists this transfer RNA (88 nucleotides) under Actinomycetes bacterium. Its description in RNAcentral is "tRNA-Ser". It matches the Rfam family "tRNA". Rfam says of the family: Transfer RNA (tRNA) molecules are approximately 80 nucleotides in length. The record is from RNAcentral. RNAcentral also lists the same sequence under 4 other names. Lineage: Bacteria; Bacillati; Actinomycetota; Actinomycetes.
GGAGGGGUGCGAGAGCGGCCGAAUCGGCGCGCUUGGAAAGCGCGUGAAGCGCAAGCUUCCGUGGGUUCGAAUCCCACCCCCUCCGCCA